GCCUAGCAAUUUAUUGGAGUGUGGGCAAAAGCAAAACAGUAUUUGAUUCAAACUUUGAGAACGUUCCUAUCUUCUUAAAAGACCAUGCUCUCAUGUAGGCUUAAGGUAGAGGUAACAGAUCCUGUACGGAUAUAGCGGGUUAACUGUGUUGCAUAUAAGCCAUUACAAAGAAGGCCAACAUGCCGAUGGAAAGGAGGAGUAGCGGCCCCGCUGGGACCAGUUUCCGGGAAGAUGCGAAACGGAAACCUGCAAGAGAGUUGUAGAAAUGAACAGAAAAAUGAGAAAAUAUUCAUCACGAAUCUGACAUACAUGCAAAGACAAAACACAUCUUCUUAGAAACUUGUUCUUACCGAAGAAGAAAGAGAAGAGGAAGGCAGAGCCGAGUCCUAUGGUAUAGCCGAGGACUCUGGUCUUUGGUGACUUAAUGAGGAAGUAGGCCUAUAUAUAGAUAUUCAAACAUUGGUAUGCUUCAGUUAACAAUUACAGUUGAACAAGAAGAACUUUGCUCAACAGGAAACAACAAAGAGAAACAAAGGUUUUGUAAAACACAGAUUUAGAGGAUCACAAUCAAGAAGAUACAAUAACAAAAUUCAGGGAUCUUUAAGGGCUUGAAUUUUGUUUAUGUUAACAUAAAAAUAACAGGGGUUCAUGCAGCUGUAAUCAGACAAACUUCUGAACAUACUAGUAAGUAAGGGUUGAUCAGACCUUGAAAUCUAAUACUUGGAAAGAGAAGAUCCAAUAUCACAAACCAUACAAUAUGAUAGGAACAGAUGUUAUGCUACAUUAGCAAAAUAUUCUACCAAAUCAACUGUUAAGAUAGUUUCUUAAGCCACCCUAAAGAGACAAAGACACCAUUUUUCUCAAGGAAUUGAAACAAAGCUUGGAUGAGAACAACAUCAAGCAGAAACAAUGUUUUGAACAGUGCACUUAGUUCCUCACUACCUUCCUCAAAGGUCAACUUUAGACUUUAACAGGCUAUGCAGCAACUAGAAACUAACAAUGAGAGGUGAGAGAGGAAGAUCUUACAGCUGCCAUAAGAACAGCACCAGUCAAACCACCAAAGAGAGAACCCUUGCUUCCAGAUUUGGUAUCUUCAAAUUUUAGGUACCAAAAAGAUCAAAACUUUAGUGAAGUGAGCAAUAAAAUCCAAAUAAAAACGUAUGUAUCAUGAGAUCAGUAACUUACAAGCGAAGAGACCGCCUCCUAGAAGAAGAACACCAUAACCAGCAGAGACGGCUGGAGCUAGCUUCGACAGCUCCGCCUUACAGGAGAGACCAUAACCUCGUUUGCUCUUCGAUUUCUCCGACAACUUAGUAAGUCCAGACCAAUUCCGACCGCAAUCACUGACACUCCGUCCGAGUUUGGUAUUUCUCACCGACACCACCGACGGAAUAUGUAACAUUAGCGCAUAAGACGACAUUUUGCUUCGCCGAAAUGUUUCCUCAGAGAAGAGAAAGGAAUUAAAUUUAUAUUAUUAACAGAACAAGAAUUGGGUUUUAAAAGGCUCAAUGUUCUUUUUGUAUCUAAUGGGUUUAGAAAAAGCUCAGCUUUUUUCUUUACUUCUUCUCUCCUUCAAGGCCCUGUUCUAAAAAUUCUAAAAACUCUGACUUGUUCAAUUUUAAAGUUCUUAAUUUUCGUUUGUCUCAUGCUGAUGCGUUGCUUGCAAUAAAAAAAUCUUAGCUGAGGACAAACAGAUUCACCAAAUAUUUGUAUAGUACAUUACACAGUAAUGUUUACAAAAUCCACUUUGUUACAUGAAAAUGUUGUUUGCUGUUUACUAUACACAUCACUAAGCAGAAGAAGAAUCUGAGUCUUUCUUCUUUUCUUUUGGGUUUCUGAAAAAUAUCAUAUACACCGAAACUCAAAUUGAUGUAAUUCUGGAAAGCAACAAUAAAGACUUGGAGUUAGAACUAAAAGAUGGAGAGCAAGUAGCCGAGGAACAAGAGAUUGUAGCUGAUCAAAAAGAUCUUUUAAGCAUUCUAAGUGGUCCAAUGACUCGAUCAAGGACUAAGAAGCUUAAGCAAAUCAUUGGAGCUAUCAUCAAAGGCCUUGACUCGAUUCAGGAGGGAAAAAUCCGAUCACAAGAACCCUGAUUGUGAUCCAAGUCCAAGACGGCUAAGUGGGCUUGAGAUCCAGGCUUGUACUCUUUUUCCUUGUCUCAAGUUUGGUCCCAUUGGGUUUUCUUGAGAUAGGUUUUUAAUGAGACAAGAAAGGAUCUCUAUUUCACCUAAGUACACAAAGCCUUAAGCCCAAGCUGUGUCAUCAAGAGGAGCGUCUAAAAUCAAGUUCAAACUUAACAGCUUGUUCUUUGUUUAUUUCCGAGAUGAGUUAAUGAUUGUGAGACUCAUCUCUUCUUUCUUUCUUCUUUAUAUUCGCUUGAACUCCUUUGUAUCAAAGCAUCUUAUCUUUUAUUCUAAAACUCUUUCUUAAAAAUUAAGAUCUCGUUUGUUGGUGUGUCAUAUCCUUCAAACAACUCGAAUCGACUUUGUGUGAGUCAUAUCACUUAGAAGAUUCAAGCAGACAUAUCAAAAGUGUUCUGCGACUCUUGUGUGUGUCGUAUCGCUUCUCCAAAAACUUUGGAACGGUUCUGAUUGUUUUCAAGGUCUAUCUUUUAAGUUCCAGUCGUUACAGUGUCGAUCAAGGGCAGAUCCUUAUUAUGAUCACAUCACAAAUCUUCUUGGCAAAAUUCAGAUAUUUCUGCGACCUUAUAGAUGCAGUUUUUACAUCUGCCUUUAUUCCAGGGUAAAUAUCACUCUCUUGCUUAUUAAAACUUCCAAGUUUCUGUUGGAAAACAAAACUUUUUGACAAGUAUAAUUUAAGAACAAAUGCAGAUAUCUUGCACCAAGGCCUGCAACGAUGUUCCGUAAUCGACUCUGUGUUGAUGGAGGCUUGACAUUGUUUAUGCUACCAACAGCUGCUACUAAAACAGUACGUACAUGAUGCUUCUUGUUUUUGUUCUCUUUUUCUCUAUCUUUCCCUAUAUGUUUCGUUCACUGUUCAUUUCAAAUCUUUGAGUGGCUAAAGAAUGUGUGCACUCUUUGGGGUUUUUUCAAAUCUAACUUCUAAAAUGUUCCAUGUAUGUUAAUAAAGUUUUUAUGUAAAUGUAUCACAGAUUCGAGUUUGUGCUUUUUCGGCGAGUAGCUUCAAACGAAAUGGUAUUGAGAUCAGCCCAGAUUGCAAACCAUUAAUGAUAGAAUUAUGGAAGAGGAAACAAGGGACGAGGUGCGAACCGAGGUUCAGGUCGGGAAACAAGACCAAGUGGCCGACCUAAAUGUGGCCGACCUAAAUGAAGUCCUGGCCGUGCCAACCGGUCCAAGAUGCUUACGGGAGCGAUCCAACGAGUUCUCACCGACCUGGGAAGCCAAGGCCGAGCUGACGACCCAACACCAGUUCAUAAAGCCAUGACCAUCAUUAUGUACUCUGGUCCGAACUGACCUGGUUAGGGUGUCGUUUUAAUACUUUUUUUCCUUGCAUUCGGUUUUGUCCCACUGGGUUUUCCGAAUGGGAUUUUAACGAGGUUAAGGCACACCCAUCUCACGACCAUGGUUCGAUUCGCGGCCAAGUAUAACGGCUAGAAGUUCAAAAGUCUAGCGGGAGGAUGCGAAGGGUCACCAGGAAGUCUGAUCGUUAUUCAACGUUCUCUUUACUUUCAUUUAUUGUCUUUUAAUUCUUAUGUAUGACCGAUGGUCUCCCUUUUGCCUCUAUAUAAAGGCAUCGAUGUACUUAGACUUAUCAUCACUUAUAUUUUUAAUAAAAUUUUCUCUUUGUUGUGAAAACUUAGAAACUUUAUUAAUCACUGGAAUAUAUAUAUAGAAUACAUAGGGAAUCUAGGUUAAGUACAAUGCCCUGAUGGGCCUAAUGGGCCGGUAUAAGAGUCCAUAUAUGAUAUGUGUUAUAACACGCAUUACUCCCCAUGAUUGUAGCAUCACUGCAGAUCUCUAAGUCUAUACAUUCCUAUCUGUUUGACGAGCUUCCGGUGUGUUGAAGUAGGCAAUGAUUUGGUGAAGAGGUCAGCUGAAUUCUCACUGGAUCGGACCUGCUGAACGCUGAGAGUGCCGUCCUUCUGCCAGUCUGAGGUUGAGAAGAACUUCGGUAGAAUGUGCUUCGUCCGAUCUCCUUUGAUAUAUCCUUCCUUGAGCUGAGCUAUGCAUGCCGCGUUGUCUUCAUACAUCACCGUGGGCUGUGUGUCUUCGUCCAUACCACAAUCUCUGCGGAUGUGCUGAGUCAUGGAGCGCAGCCAGACGCAUUCCCUACUAGCCUCAUGAAUGGCUAGGAUUUCAGCAUGGUUUGAUGAAGUGGCAGUGAGUGUCUGCUUCAUUGAUCUCCAAGAGAUGGCUGUUCCUCCAUGCAUAAAAACGUAGCCAGUUUGAGACUUGGCAGUGUGCGGAUCUGAUAGAUAUCCUGCAUCGGCGAAGCCGACUAACCCAUCUUUAUUUUGGUUAGUAUAGAAGAGUCCUAAGUCUUGAGUACCUCGAAGGUAUCUUAGGAGAUGUUUUAUACCGUUCCAGUGCCUCUGAGUUGGAGAUGAACUAUAUCGAGCGAGGAGGUUCACGGCGAAACAUAUGUCUGGUCUAGUGUGACUAGCCAGGUACAUUAACGCUCCUACAGCACUGAGGUAUGGCUUUUCAGGACCAAGGAUUUCUUCAUCAUCCUUUUUGGGACCAAGAGGGUCAUCACUUAAGCUUCUAACUACCAUUGGGCUGGUCAAUGGGUGAGCUUGGUCCAUAUUAAAUCGCUUGAGUACCUUUUCGAUAUAAGCCGAUUGAUGCACAAGGAUUCCUCCUUUGAUGUACUCAAGUUGUAAUCCCAAACAGUACUUUGUUUUGCCUAGGUCUUUCAUUUCGAAUUCUGUUUUUAAGCAGUCGACUGUUUGGGAGAUCUCACCAGAUGUUCCGAGGAUGUUUAGAUCAUCCACGUAUACUGCUAUGAUUACAAAUCCUUUGUUUGAGUACUUCUUGAUGAAGAUGCAUGGACUGAUGGGGUCAUUUUUGUAGCCUUCUUUGAUGAGGUAAUCGCUGAGGCAGUUGUACCACAUACGCCCACUUUGUUUCAGUCCAUACAAGGAUUUGUUCAGCCUGAUGCAGUAUUGAUCUCGAGAUGCAUUUUUGUCUUUUAGUUCAAUGCCAUCUGGGAGUCUCAUAUAUAUUUCGUUGUCCAGGGGCCCAUAGAGAUAUGCGGUUACAACAUCCAUUAACCGCAGAUCAAGAUUUUCUCUUAUGGCCAGACUUAUGAGGAAUCGGAAUGUUGUUGCAUCCACCACUGGAGAAUAAGUCUCCUCAUAAUCGAUUCCGGGUCUCUGUGAGAAUCCUUGUGCUACAAGCCGUGCUUUGUAUCGAACGACUUCACCGAGUUCGUUCCUUUUGCGCACAAAGACCCAUUUGUGGCCCACUGGCUUGAUGUGUGAUGGGGUCCGGAUGAUCGGACCGAACACGUUUCUGAGUUUGAGACUCUUUAACUCCACGUUUAUGGCUUCUUUCCAUUUUAGCCAAUCUGUUCGAUGUGUACACUGUGUUAUUGACGUGGGUUCUAGAUCCUCUUGCGUGAGUGCAACAUCAAGUGCUACUUUGUAUGCAAAGAGUGCAUUUAAGUCGACUUCUUUUCGAUUCCAUUGUAUUUCGGACAUAUUGUAAUUGAUGGAGAUCUCAUUGUUAUCUUCUGAACCUGGAGAUUCGGCGUCCCGAACUUCCAUUGAGGGUUCAUUAGAUUGAGUCUCAGCCGCGGCUAUGUCUGAUAUUGCAGGAAUCCCGGUUUCGGUUAUUGCACCUUUCUUUAAUUUCCGGGGAUUCUUAUCUUUGGAACCGAGAGGUCUGCCCCGUUUGAGACGUGGUGCAGACUCUGUAGCAACUUGGGUCUGUCCCGUUGGGACAGCUAUUCGUACUGGUGCAUUACAAGCUGGGAUGUACGAUUUGGUUACUUUGGUCGGGUCAGCAAAGGAAUCUGGCAAUUGAUUAGCUAGCUUUUGAUAAUGAAUAAUCUUUUGGAUCUCUGAAUCACAUUCUAGAGUCCGAGGAUCUUGCCAAUUUAAUGAUGUUUGAUUCCAUGAAAGAUCUUUGACCAGCUUGUUUGUCUCACCACCUAAAGAGGGAUAUACCGAUUCAUCGAAUUGGCAAUCCGCAUAUCUGGCCUUGAAGAGAUCUCCAGUGGUUGGCUCGAGAUAUCUUAUGAUGGUGGGAGAGUCAAAACCAACAUAUAUUCCCAUCCUUCUUUGAGGUCCCAUUUUGGUUCGAUGUGGUGGAGCAAUGGGUACAUAUACUGAACACCCAAAUGUUUUGAGAUGGGAGAUGUCUGGCUCAUGACCCGAGAGUAGUUGGGAUGGGGAAUAUUUGUGUUCACUAGAUGGCCGGAUGCGUAUGAGUUCAGCAGCAUGUAAUACUGCAUGUCCCCAUGCUGAGGCCGGGAGCUUUGAUCUCAUGAGUAAUGGUCGGGCUAUCCAUUGAAUGCGUUUAAUGAAUGAUUCAGCCAAUCCAUUUUGAGUAUGGACAUGUGCUACAGGAUGUUCCACGGUUACCCCCAUGGCCAUACAGUAGUCAUUAAACGCUUGUGAGGUAAAUUCACCAGCAUUGUCAAGGCGGAUAGUCUUUAGUGGGAAGUCAGGGAAAUGGGCCCGCAAUUUUAUGAUUUGGGCCAAGAACCUAGCGAAGGCUUGGUUCCGAGAGGACAAGAGACAAACAUAUGACCAACGGGUCGAUGCGUCUAUAAGGACCAUGAAGUACCGGAAUGGUCCGGAAGAUGGAUGUAUAGGUCCACAGAUAUCGCCCUGGAUUCUUUCUAGGAAAUAAAGUGUUUGUUUAGAGAUUUUAACUGGUGAAGGCCGAGUGAUCAAUUUGCCUUGAGAACAAGCUGUGCACAUGAGGUGUUGAGGAUAAGCUCGGUUUUCUUUGAGGGUAUGCCCUUGAGAGUUUUGAAUUAGUUUACGCAUCAUAUUUGCACCGGGAUGACCGAGCCGGUCGUGCCAAAUAGUAUAAUCAGUAAAUCGGGCUUUGAGAGUGGUAUUAGCUUCAAUCAUACUGACUUUAGCAUGGUAAAGUCCAGUAGAGAGCGCGGGUAUGGUUUCGAGGAUUUGUUUAUGGCCGUCUACGGUUUUAGUGACUAGGAGGGAUUCUUUGUUCCCUUGACCUUGGGUUUCUAUGUGGAAACCAUUCUGUCUUAUAUCCUUGAAGCUCAGAAGAUUUUUCUUCGAACUAGGAGAAUAUAGAGCAUCUGGUAUUUCAAGUUGUGUGCCAUUUGAUAGCAACACAUAGGCAUGGCCAUAUCCUUCGAUAAGGUUUGAGGGACCCGCGAUGGUGCUAAUAUUUGCGGUUUGAUAGGUUAGGUUUAUGAAGUAACUUUUGUUUCUUAAGAUAGUGUGGCUGGAUCCACUAUCUACGACUAUGGUUUCCAUUUGCUGGUGUGCUUUAUUAUGAAUAGAAGAUAGAAUUCAGUAUUGAGGAAUUCAGAAAAUGUGAUAAAUCAUAAAGUAAAGCAGUGUCUGAGAAUAAAGGCAAAUGGAAAAAAAAAUGAAACAAAUCCCAAAAUGAAAAAAAUAAAGAACAAAAUCAAAUUGUAUCAGAGUUUCAGAUGAUUGAAUUAAUCGAGAAGAUCAGUUGUUUCAUAGUCCAUGGGGUCGGUCUGCUCGUUUGUGGUGUUCUCAUCAUCAAGGAGGUCGUCACCUUCCAGGUUAGCAGCAUCGACUGGCUGAGUCAUGUUGGCUUCAGCAGGAGCUUUUCCGUACUUCUGGUAUAGAUCGCAGUGGAUCUUGGGGGUGCGACAUUGCUUUGUUGGGUGGUUGAACAUCUCACAUCUGGUACAAGCAGAGUGAUCGGGGUUGGUGUGGCGGGUCGGCUUGGUGAUGCCUCGACCACGACCAGGACCAUAACUGAGGUUAGGUCGGUUGCCACGACCAUGUCCGCGUCCACGUCUUCCACGUCCAUGUCCUCGGCCAUUACCACGUCCAUUACCACGUCCACGGCGGUGAUCUGAGGAUCUAUCGGGUUGAACAUGGUAGGACUCUUGACGAGAAGCUGGGACAGGAGCCGAUCCCGGGGGCCUCAUAGCGCUGUUCCUCAUAAGCAGCUGGUUAUUCUUCUCAGCGAGGAGAAGACAGGACAACAAGUCUUCGUACAAUGUGUGUUUCAUUGCACGGUAUUGUUGUUGGAGCACAACAUUCUCUGUGCUGAAUGUGGAUAAUGUUUUCUCGAGGAGAUCAUUAUCUGUCACAUCCUCGCCACAGAGUUUCCGGAUGGCAACAAUACGAAAGAGUUCGUUGUUGUAAUCAUCUACGGAUUUGUAGUCCUGGAACCGAAGGUUCUUCCAGUCGAAAUCUGCCUGAGGCAACUGGACCAUUUUCUGAUGGUCAUAUCGCUUUUUCAGCGCUUGCCACAAUUCAAGUGGAUUCUCAAGAGUGAGAUAUUGCUGCUUAAGGCUCGGGGCCAGAUGAUGGCGUAUGUGACAUAUCGCCUGAGACUGUCCCUUACGGGAUGCGGUGUUACCGUCGGUAAUACACGCAUCGAGUUCUUUCGAUGCAAGGAACAAGCGCAUGUCUAGGGCCCACUCGAGGUAGUUAUCCCCGGAGACGUGAAGGGCCUCGAAUUCACAUUUCUGAAUGUUUGACAUCUGAAACAUGAGAUUGAUUUUGUUAGGGAUUGUUUUGAGAAAAUUUUGAAUGCUGAUGAUGAAACUUUCUAUUUUGAGAAUAUUUCUAUUUUAGGAAAGUUUCUAAAUUUGGAAAGUUUCUAAUUUGGGUAAUUUUCUAAAUGAGGAAAGUUUCUAUGUCGGGAAAAUUUCUAUAUGAGGAAAGUUUUUUUUUUUUUAUAUAUAUGAGGAAACUUUCUAUUAGAGGGAACUUUCUCGGAAAUAGUAAAUUUUAAAGGGUAUGGUUUUAGUUACCCCGAACAUGAUGUCGGUUUAAUAGCUGUGAUUUAAUCGGUUAAAGCCGAAUAUAAUUUCGGUUAAUGAGAACCAAGUUUAGCCGGUUUUAGGCGGUUUAGGAGGAACCCUAGGGGAGCCGAAUAUGAUUAGGGUUUUAUCUAGGGUUUUAACGGUUUGGAAAACAUAUUUUGGAUGUGAUUUCGAGAUCUAUAGGAUCUGUGGUCGAUGGUUUUAAUAAUUUCGCAAGGACAACAAAGAAAUCACGUGAAAAGGACUAGGGUUUAAGCAUUAUGACUUACGAUUUUGAAGAUUACAAAAUCGUGAAUCAAGCUUAGGAUUUAGGGUUGAUUUUCUUAGUUUAUUCAAUCAAGUGUUUCAAGCAAGAGAAUCAACAAUCAAAUAAGCUGCAACAAGCUUAUUAAACAUGAAGAAAAUCGAAUAGGUUUAUGCCAUAAACAUGGCCAAAAACGGUUGUUAGGUUUUUGUAGAUUAGGGUUUUAUAAAACGAGUUUAAAACUUUUGAACAUGCAUAAACUUGUAAUUUAAACAAUCAAUCAACAAGUUAUCAAUCAAUCAUCAGAGUAUCAAACACUUUCAAUCAAUUAGAGAUCGAUUUUUUUUUUUUUUAUAUAGGGUUUUGAAGUGUUUAAACAACAGGUUCUAUGGCUCUCAGUUUUAGAAGAUACCUUUUCCACCUUUGGAUUUCUGACAGGCUAAUGAAACUGGGAGCUAAUAGACCUCAGUUAGCCGCUACAAAUUCCAAGGAUUGAUCACCAAAACUGGAGAAGCUGCUGGUUGAAGAAGGAAAAACUCGGAUCUGGUUUUUUUUUUUUUUUUUCGGUUGAUCGUCGUGUACUGUAAGUGUGCGUGAGGGCGCGUCCGACGUUGGAUCGACAAACGGUUUUCACCAGUAGAUUCGUCUCGUCGAGGGCUUCGAUUUGAUAUGUAGAUCGUCUUCUGGUUCCUCACGGUUUGGAAGAUAUGCGUCUUUUAAGUUUCGACUUGCUUUUAGGGUUUUGGUGGUGGCCGGAUUUAUUAGGGUUUUUCGCUCAGAGAGUCUUAUCGUGCUGAUAACGUGUUGUGAAAACUUAGAAACUUUAUUAAUCACUGGAAUGUAUAUAUAGAAUACAUAGGGAAUCUAGGUUAAGUACAAUGCCCUGAUGGGCCUAAUGGGCCGGUAUAAGAGUCCAUAUAUGAUAUGUGUUAUAACACUCUUUGAGUUUUCUCUUUUGUUCUCUAAGAACUUUUCGAUAUUUUGGUGGUUAGCCAUUGAUCGAUUUCUGGUUUAUCAAGUAGUUUCACCCUGCUUGACUCUGGUUUAUCAAGUAGUUUCAUCCUGCUUGACGCAGCCUUCGUUUACAAAGUGUGAGAGAGAGUUUGUAGUCAUAUCUGGGGCUUAGGGAAUUUCGAGACUUGUCUCACACCCUGACAUCCGAUAUCGCAACCCCCUUGUUCAUUUUUGUACAUCCCCUCGUUUACGGUCAUUUCUUUGGAAUUUGGCCUAAGGAUUUUCGAGUUUUACUCACGCCUUAGCAUCUCUUUCACCGAAGCAAUCAGGAUUCAAGGAUCUAUCAAUCUCUACCGAAUCAAGUGUGUGACAAUUCUAGGACGGUCUUCUAUCAAUUAAACAGGGCAACAUCUAGACAAGACAACAUCUAGACAAGAGUAAGUGUGUUGAUCUUGUUUUUUCUGAUACUUAGCUAUUGAAUUGGGCACUGGAGCCAGCAGAGGACGAAGUGUUGGAGAAGUUGUUUGAUCUGGGAUAUGCAGAUGUUGCCACGUGGUCUGAGAUGAAUCCAGUCGAGGAAUUGGUCUAUAACGAUACUCCUUCAGCUCAAACGAUCCAAGCUAGUUAGAACACAAGAACUCCAUACUCAUUUCUUUUAACCAUAUACAUAUAGUCUGUUUAUUGCACUACAAUAGAUUCUUAUAGUUUUUUGCAUAAGCUUGGCUCUUGAUGUUACAGGAACUUGUAGUUCUUAUAUCAAACAAAUUCAAUGGUACAUCACUUUCUGUCUUGAGUUCAUAUACUUUCUAUCUUGACUAUUUGUAGCCAAUCUCGCUCAAAUUUCCAAAGAGUUUUUUCACAAAAUAUUUCACCCUACUCUUGUUAUCAUUGAAGAUCAGAAAGCUAAAAACUUUCAUCUAGAAUGGAGAUGCAUCUGUGUCUGAUUUAGCAACAAACCUCAAACAAACAUUAUUCUCUCCACAUUAGCCUCACAAAGCCUAGCAAUUUAUUGGUGUGUGGGCAAAAGCAAAACAGUUUCUGAUUCAUGCUUUGAGAACUGUCCUGUCUUCUUAAAAGCCCAUGGUCAUGUAGGCUUAAGGUAGAGGUAACGGAUCCGGUACGGGUAUAGCGGGUAAACUGUCGUGCAUAUAAGCCAUUACAAAGAAGGACAACAUGCCGAUGCUAAGGAGGAGUAGCGGCCCCGA
This 11280-nucleotide long non-coding RNA is filed under the name Eutrema salsugineum. Its description in RNAcentral is "long non-coding RNA (ESAL_LNC000539)". Lineage: Eukaryota; Viridiplantae; Streptophyta; Magnoliopsida; Brassicales; Brassicaceae. The record is from RNAcentral.